CUACGGGGUGCUGCAGGCGAGAAAACUUUGCAAUGUGCGAAAGCACGACAAGGUUAAUCCGAGUGGUUUGUGCUAAACGAACCUUUUGACAGUCCUAGAAACACUGAUGAAUAAGGGGUGGGCAAGUUCUGGUGUCAGCCGCCGCGGUAAAACCAGCACCUUAAGUGGUCAGGAUGAUUAUUGGGCCUAAAGCAUCCGUAGCCGGCUCUGUAAGUUUUCGGUUAAAUCUGUACGCUCAACGUACAGGCUGCCGGGAAUACUGCAGAGCUAGGGAGUGGGAGAGGUAGACGGUACUCGGUAGGAAGGGGUAAAAUCCUUUGAUCUAUUGAUGACCACCUGUGGCGAAGGCGGUCUACCAGAACACGUCCGACGGUGAGGGAUGAAAGCUGGGGGAGCAAACCGGAUUAGAUACCCGAGUAGUC
RNAcentral lists this ribosomal RNA (422 nucleotides) under uncultured archaeon. RNAcentral describes it as "partial 16S ribosomal RNA". It matches the Rfam family "Archaeal small subunit ribosomal RNA", at positions 323 to 746 of the family's 1478-position model. The record is from RNAcentral.